AGCUCUCAAAGUGUAUGUCAUUAUUGCUGCGGUUAAAAAGCUCGUAGUUGGAUCUGAGCCUUUGGAUACGGUUCACUUUCAGGUGAUACUGGCUCCGGGGUUAAUUUCGUCGGUUCUCCGGCGAGAGUUACUCUGAAUAAAUCAGAGUGCUCAAAACAAGCGUUUCGCUUGAAUGUUUUUGCAUGGAAUAAUGGAAAAGGACUUCGGUUCCUUACUGUUGGUUUCGGAAUUGGAUUAAUGAUUAAGAGGGACCAACGGGGGCAUGCGUACCGCUACGCGAGAGGUGAAAUUCAUGGACCGUAGCGUGACGAACUAAAGCGAAAGCAUUUGCCAAGAAUGUUUUCA
Molecule: ribosomal RNA, 345 nt
Filed under: uncultured eukaryote
Lineage: Eukaryota
Description: SSU rRNA
Rfam family: Eukaryotic small subunit ribosomal RNA
Source: RNAcentral